Molecule: unclassified non-coding RNA, 455 nt
Filed under: Sipha flava (yellow sugarcane aphid)
Lineage: Eukaryota; Metazoa; Arthropoda; Insecta; Hemiptera; Aphididae
Description: zinc finger MYM-type protein 1-like, transcript variant X1
Source: RNAcentral
GAUAGACUGCUUUUAUAUAGUGCACUCACUUUAGCAAGGGGUUUUAUCAUUAGUUUUAUUUCAUAAUGAUAAUAGAAGAUAUCUAUGAUGAUAACAAAUAUUUUUAUUGUUAACGCAUUUUAUUUUAAAAUUAUUUAACAUUUUUACAAAUUGAAGUAUUCCCGAUUCUGUACGAAUUAUCAUUUGUCUUCAAGCUAUGGUUCGAACUUGCAUUGUUUUUCAUGUAUCCUCUAAAGAUAAUACAGGCAACGUAUCAUUUCAUUUGUAGAGACAUGAUAUCGAAAGAAAAGUAUCGAUACUUUCACUUGGUAACGAAUGGAAUGAAAAUAACGAAACGUAACGACCGGUAUGAGUAUCGAAAAAAAAUAUUGAUCCUUUUACUUAGUCCUAUCAUCGUAACAAAUAUAAUUAAAAUAUUGAUAACAAUAAAAUAUGAAAACGACCUAUAUGAAUAA